Molecule: ribosomal RNA, 506 nt
Filed under: uncultured bacterium
Lineage: Bacteria
Description: partial 16S ribosomal RNA
Rfam family: Bacterial small subunit ribosomal RNA
Source: RNAcentral
AUUGAACGCUGGCGGCAGGCCUAACACAUGCAAGUCGGACGGUAGCACAGAGGAGCUUGCUCCUCGGGUGACGAGUGGCGGACGGGUGAGUAAUGUCUGGGGAUCUGCCCGAUAGAGGGGGAUAACCACUGGAAACGGUGGCUAAUACCGCAUAACGUCGCAAGACCAAAGAGGGGGACCUUCGGGCCUCUCACUUUCGGAUGAACCCAGAUGGGAUUAGCUAGUAGGCGGGGUAACGGCCCACCUAGGCGACGACCCCUAGCUGGUCUGAGAGGAUGACCAGCCACACUGGAACUGAGACACGGUCCAGACUCCUACGGGAGGCAGCAGUGGGGAAUAUUGCACAAUGGGCGCAAGCCUGAUGCAGCCAUGCCGCGUGUAUGAAGAAGGCCUUCGGGUUGUAAAGUACUUUCAGCGGGGAGGAAGGCGAUGUGGUUAAUAACCGCAUUGAUUGACGUUACCCGCAGAAGAAGCACCGGCUAACUCCGUGCCAGCCGCCGCAGUAA